RNAcentral lists this transfer RNA (78 nucleotides) under Allomuricauda sp. RNAcentral's name for it is "tRNA-Val". It matches the Rfam family "tRNA". From Rfam's summary of the family: Transfer RNA (tRNA) molecules are approximately 80 nucleotides in length. The record is from RNAcentral. Lineage: Bacteria; Pseudomonadati; Bacteroidota; Flavobacteriia; Flavobacteriales; Flavobacteriaceae.
GGAGUAUUAGCUCAGUUGGUUUAGAGCGCUGCCUUGACAGGGCAGAGGUCACUGGUUCGAAUCCAGUAUACUCCACGA